RNAcentral lists this non-coding RNA (30 nucleotides) under Mus musculus (house mouse). Lineage: Eukaryota; Metazoa; Chordata; Mammalia; Rodentia; Muridae. The record is from RNAcentral.
UAUAGCGUAUUUGGAUCCUAUUUUUCUCCC